Mycetomoellerius zeteki is the source of this 1456-nucleotide long non-coding RNA. RefSeq lists it as uncharacterized. The record is from RefSeq and is a predicted model, not a curated record. The transcript is spliced from 3 exons. Lineage: Eukaryota; Metazoa; Arthropoda; Insecta; Hymenoptera; Formicidae.
AUAAAUUGUCGCAUGUCGCCUUCAUUGCACAACGCCGCGAAAGAAAUAAAGGUCAACCAAUCGGAUAGAUUGUAGUCUACACUUCCAUCUGCUUCAAAUGUUAACAAAUUGCGAUUAUAUCAAAACGUUCAAAAUCGUUUUUGACUGAAUACUUUUUCAGCAAGUUUUCGUCAGCAAAUUUUGGUAAGAUGAAAGAUCAAUUGACACUUAUCUGUACAAUGCAAGUAGCUAUGCUAGUAUUGUACAUUGCAUGGAAGGCAAAAAGAGCAAGCGUUGGAGAAAUCGACGAUGGGGGGUACGUCCCAGAGGAGAAACAUCCAGAGUAUGGCGACUUCUCAACUCUAUUUUUAGAGUUAAAAAAAGAUUUGGAUCUCUUCUUCCGAUAUACAAGAAUGGAUGUGCCUACAUUUGAUGAACUUUGAUUGGGUCCGUAUUUGGAAAAAAGGAGUAUAACAAACCAUCGAUAUGACCAGAACAGUACCACAUAAUAACAUUGAGAUAUUUGACAACCAGAGACCAAAUGCUGUCUGUUCUAGAGCCAGAAAGUCCACUGCUGAUAUAUAUGAUUGUCAAAGAAACAUGUUAUAGAAAAUGUUUUAAUGUCAAUCUAUAUGAAAUGUCCGACAGAAGUCGAAUGGAAAGAGAUCUGUUCAGAUUUUUUAAGAUUGUGAAUUUACCAAAUUGUAUUGGAGCGAUCGAUGGCAAGUACAUGACAAUUCAGGCACCUCCGAACUCUGGAGCUAUACACUUCAAUUACAAGAAGACAUUUAAUUAGCUUCGUAUCGAUGGCUGCAUAAAUUGUGAUGCUAGGUAUCGAUUUACGCUGUUCGAUAGCGAUGAAGGAAUUUUGUUAAGAUUGACCUUCGGAAAAGCAGUGUACGGAGGUAUGCUGAAUUUGCCAAGAGGGACAGCUCGUCUCCCAGGAAGUGAUCAGGAAACACCUUGCUAUUUUGUUAGCGACGAAGCAUUUCAAUGUAAUGCGAUCUUAUCUGGGCAAGUUUUUAGAGGACCAAAAACGUAUAUAAACAUUUAUGAUUCAAGCAUAUUGUGGAAUCUAAAACGGAAAAAUAUAAAUAACAACUGCUCAGAGAAAGCUGUAUUUAAUCUGUAUAGAUUUAUUUACAUUUUGAUAAUAUAAUUUACGAUGCCACGCAAUUUAUAAGAAUAGUAAAUGAUAAAGUUCUAUAUUAAUAAAAUCGCCUUGUAUCUGCAUGUUAGUAUACAUACCUUAUAUUAAUAUUUACAAUUAAAAAAGCUGUCUUAUACAUUCCCUGCAUAUAUGUAUAUACAGCGUUCCUCCUGUAUACUCGGAACAAUAAUAACAAACUACAAUUGCGCUAUUAGAACACAAUUUCUACACUCUCUGGAUAAUGUGUAUUAAUUAAUAAAUCCUCUUUCACAUGUAUCUCAAACAGGAAAUAUUUCAAUUUCUAAUUUAUUAUUACUUUAUAACUAU